This 253-nucleotide ribosomal RNA is filed under the name uncultured bacterium. RNAcentral describes it as "partial 16S ribosomal RNA". It matches the Rfam family "Bacterial small subunit ribosomal RNA", at positions 524 to 776 of the family's 1533-position model. The record is from RNAcentral.
GACGUAGGGCGCGAGCGUUGUCCGGAUUUAUUGGGCGUAAAGAGCUCGUAGGCGGCUUGUCGCGUCGAAUGUGAAAACCCGAGGCUCAACUUCGGGCUUGCAUUCGAUACGGGCAGGCUAGAGUUCGGUAGGGGAGACUGGAAUUCCUGGUGUAGCGGUGAAAUGCGCAGAUAUCAGGAGGAACACCGGUGGCGAAGGCGGCUUGCUGGGCCUUACCUGACGCUGAGGAGCGAAAGCGUGGGGAGCGAACAGG